Molecule: ribosomal RNA, 389 nt
Filed under: uncultured bacterium
Lineage: Bacteria
Description: bacterial SSU rRNA
Rfam family: Bacterial small subunit ribosomal RNA
Source: RNAcentral
GACGAACGCUGGCGGCGUGCUUAACACAUGCAAGUCGAGCGGUAAGGCCCUUUCGGGGGUACACGAGCGGCGAACGGGUGAGUAACACGUGGGUGACCUGCCUUUAGCUCUGGGAUAAGCCUGGGAAACUGGGUCUAAUACCGGAUACGACUCCGCGGUGCAUGCUGUGGGGUGGAAAGCCUUGUGCGGCUGGAGAUGGGCCCGCGGCCUAUCAGCUUGUUGGUGGGGUGAUGGCCACCAAGGCGACGACGGGUAGCCGGCCUGAGAGGGCGACCGGCCACACUGGGACUGAGACACGGCCCAGACUCCUACGGGAGGCAGCAGUGGGGAAUCUUGCGCAAUGGGCGAAAGCCUGACGCAGCGACGCCGCGUGAGGGAUGACGGCCUGG